GAUGAACGCUGGCGGCGUGCCUAACACAUGCAAGUCGAACGGGAGCUCCUGGAUUCGUCUGGGGGCGAGAGUGGCGAACGGGUGAGUAAUACGUGGGUGACCUGCCCCAAAGAGGGGAAUAACUGCUGGAAACGGUGGCUAAUACCCCAUGUGCUCGGUGGUUCGGUCCAUCGAGUAAAGCUUAGGCGCUUUGGGAGGGGCCUGCGGCCCAUCAGGUAGUUGGUAGGGUAAUGGCCUACCAAGCCGAUGACGGGUAGGGGACGUGAGAGCGUGAACCCCCACACUGGCACUGAGAUACGGGCCAGACUCCUACGGGAGGCAG
This 322-nucleotide ribosomal RNA is filed under the name uncultured Chloroflexota bacterium. RNAcentral describes it as "bacterial SSU rRNA". It matches the Rfam family "Bacterial small subunit ribosomal RNA", at positions 28 to 351 of the family's 1533-position model. The record is from RNAcentral. Lineage: Bacteria; Bacillati; Chloroflexota.